UAUUAAAUUUUUUUUCUAUUUUUACAAUUAAAAAUUGGUAUGAUUGAUGAAAUAACCAAACGUCGCACUAUGUGUAUUUCAUGCUAUUGUAAAGGAAUCAACUUUUAAUACUAAAAAUGAAAGAAAUUUUUAACA
This 135-nucleotide microRNA precursor is filed under the name Gossypium hirsutum (cotton). Its description in RNAcentral is "MIR7502 microRNA precursor family". It matches the Rfam family "MIR7502 microRNA precursor family". Lineage: Eukaryota; Viridiplantae; Streptophyta; Magnoliopsida; Malvales; Malvaceae. The record is from Rfam by way of RNAcentral.